AAUUCGAUUCUAAGGGCUAAGGCCCCCCUUUUCUUUUCCUCCUGGCCGUGUGUGGGCCACACUUCAGAAAGGCCAAAAAGGGGGUCUCCUAUUUCUCGUCCCAUAGAGAAUCUCCGCAUUGCCGAUCGCCCGAACCAGCCUAAGAUAGGGCUGGCUCUGACGAGUGCCAUCUCUUUCGAUCUGGCUCAAAUACCUAUUUAAGGUAUUUUCAGAAAGCGCAGCCUCCCUAGUAGGGUGGUUAAAGACUAGGCCGCGGAUUUCUGACCUCCAAUCCAGAACGAUAUGGGGGGGAAACCCAUCCCGCACCAAUGCAGCUUCUAUCUU
This 324-nucleotide long non-coding RNA is filed under the name Nicotiana benthamiana. RNAcentral's name for it is "long non-coding RNA (NBEN_LNC017761)". Lineage: Eukaryota; Viridiplantae; Streptophyta; Magnoliopsida; Solanales; Solanaceae. The record is from RNAcentral.